GAACGACAGACAUAAAAUGAAUAAAUCGGUCUUGAUGUUUAAAAUAUUAAACAACCACUCAGCUCCGAACUUAAAGGAUAAAUUUAUAACAAGGGACAUAAAUCUUAGUACUAAUUAUAAUCUCAGAAAUGCUGAUAUAAAUCUUUCAGUUCCUAAACCACGUACUGAAUAUUUAAAAAAGAGUUUUGGAUAUAGCGGGGCUGU
Non-coding RNA from Paramuricea clavata, 204 nucleotides. The record is from the annotation of a GenBank genome assembly. NCBI's taxonomy places the organism in Eukaryota, Metazoa, Cnidaria, Anthozoa, Malacalcyonacea, Plexauridae.